Molecule: long non-coding RNA, 1167 nt
Organism: Leptopilina heterotoma
Lineage: Eukaryota; Metazoa; Arthropoda; Insecta; Hymenoptera; Figitidae
Exons: 3
Source: RefSeq, a predicted model, not a curated record
UAUUUAUUUUUUAUGUAAAAAUUCGUAAUUGUCUAUUGAGUAGUUUUACAUUUUUUUCCUUGAAAAAAUUUAGUGGAAAAUUACAGAAAAUUUUGUUAAAUAAUUUAUUUGAAUAUUUUGUGAAAUUUAAAUAACGCAAAAUUAUAGAGAGAAGUUAAUCCCCUAUUAUAAACAAGGGAGAUAACGACUCUCGACAUUGUCAUGAGAACUUGUUAUCAUUUCGUCCUUGUCUAUUUCUCCUUCAACGACAAUAGAAGUACGAAAUUCAAAUUGAGCCCUUUCCCCUUCUUUUCUUUCCUUUUCCUUCGUUGAUAGUCUCUUCCCUUUCUACCUUUGUAAUUUUUCCAUAAAAGUCUCACACUCUAACGGGGACCGUCUUUGGUGUUUCAACUUGUCCAGUGUAAAGUUCAUUUUUUAUCAAGUAUCCAAAUUUUAUUUAAUACAUUUUUAAUAGUUUAAAUAAAUUAAUUCAAAUUAUAAAUUACAAUUUAUAAAUCAAACUCAAAUAUUCGAAUGGAAAUUUUUCAGUGGAGUUGAAUUUGCAAGAAUUUUCCACGCAGCCAUGCUUUUUGAGAUAAGAAGAGACGAAUUUUUUUUUCAACAUCCCAGCCAUCUUUGAAAUAUAUUGAAUACAUUUUUUUUUACUUUUUUCUUUUACAUUCACAAAUGAGAGUUGGAUUCGGAAACAGGAUUUCAGAAGACGGAAGAAAGCGAAGCAUGAUUCAAAAUUCAUCAAAAUUUUUUGAAAAACUUAUUUUGUAAUUAGCUCUCCUUGUAUUAGAACUUUUUUCGUCGACUGGUACGAGUUAAAUUUAGAAUUACUUGUGUAAUUUUCGUGAAGUAAUAUUGUGAAUUUUAUUUUGUAAAUUAUUUAGAUAGGGAUUUGAAAAUUAAAAAAAUGCAAUUAUAUUAGAUAGGAAUCUAGCAUAUUAAGUCUAGUUUUAAGUAAAAUUAACUAAUUAAAAUUCUACAAGAGAGUUCAACAUCCAGUAGACUAGUAUCAAGUUCAGCAGAAAAUUCUAUUCAUCGAAAAUGAGGGGAAUGAAAGUAACAAAAGAAGACUCAUGACCAGAAGAAGAAAAAGGAUUGAUCACCGAACUAGAAGAUUUUUAUCAGCAAGUUACUUAAGUGCAAGAAUUAAUAAAGAUCAUUUUGUUGUAUAAUUAA